This 375-nucleotide RNase P RNA is filed under the name Sulfuritalea sp. Its description in RNAcentral is "RNase P RNA component class A". It matches the Rfam family "Bacterial RNase P class A". Rfam says of the family: Ribonuclease P (RNase P) is a ubiquitous endoribonuclease, found in archaea, bacteria and eukarya as well as chloroplasts and mitochondria. Lineage: Bacteria; Pseudomonadati; Pseudomonadota; Betaproteobacteria; Nitrosomonadales; Sterolibacteriaceae. The record is from RNAcentral.
GAAGUUCGCCAGGCAACCGCUGAACAUGAAAGUGUUUGGAGGAAAGUCCGGGCCCCACAGGGCGGAAUGCCGGCUAACGGCCGGGCGCUAUAAGUCGGGCGGCGCAAGUCGCACGACCCAAGGCGACAGACAGUGCAACAGAAAGAUACCGCCUAAGUUCGCAAGAACCGGUAAGGGUGAAAUGGUGGGGUAAGAGCCCACCGCGUUUCUGGUAACAGAAACGGCACGGCAAACCUCAUUCGGGGCAAGGCCAAAUAGGGGAGUAAUGGCGUGGCCCGCGUCGCUCCCGGGUAGGCUGCUAGAGGCCGUCGGUAACGGCGGUCCCAGAGGAAUGGUUGCCCACGACAGAACCCGGCUUAUCGGCGGACUUCCCAC